Molecule: unclassified non-coding RNA, 250 nt
Filed under: air metagenome
Description: partial contains small subunit ribosomal RNA, internal transcribed spacer 1, and 5.8S ribosomal RNA
Rfam family: Eukaryotic small subunit ribosomal RNA (bases 1-46)
Source: RNAcentral
AAGUCGUAACAAGGUCUCCGUUGGUGAACCAGCGGAGGGAUCAUUACUGAGUUUACGCUCUACAACCCUUUGUGAACAUACCUAUAACCGUUGCUUCGGCGGGAGGGGGUCCCCUCGACCCCACCCCGGCCUCCCGCCCCCGGGCGGGGCGGCACCCGCCGGAGGAUAACCAAACCCUGAUUUAACGACGUUUCUUCUGAGUGGCACAAGCAAAUAAUCAAAACUUUUAACAACGGAUCUCUUGGUUCUG